Lathyrus oleraceus (garden pea) is the source of this 389-nucleotide long non-coding RNA. RefSeq lists it as uncharacterized. The transcript has 2 exons. The record is from RefSeq and is a predicted model, not a curated record. Lineage: Eukaryota; Viridiplantae; Streptophyta; Magnoliopsida; Fabales; Fabaceae.
CGAUUUUGUUGUAAAUAAAUGAGCUUCUACUGCCAUUUUAAAUGUUGCCGUUGGAUGAAAAAGAGUGAAAACAGUUAGUGAAAAUGUAUUGUUAUAUUGAUCUGGUUAAAAAAACUGUGAUGGUGAAACAGUUGGUGCAUGUGGGAGCUUGGAAGUACAUUAAAAGCAAGGUGAUGGUUGCAAGCUUAGGAAAACAAGGAGCAAUUUCCUUUUCAACCUUUAAGCAAAGGCUAAUAUAUCAUGUAGUGAUAUAGGACUUUUAUAUGGACUUUGCAUAAAUAUUCAAAUGUAACAAAAGCUUUGAGCUUAUUUUAAUCAAUUUUGAUCUAAUGUUUUCAAUUCAAAUUGUAUGCAAAUGUUAAUGAAUGCAAGCUAUUUUUAUAGUCAAA